AAUAUUGGACAAUGGGCGAAAGCCUGAUCCAGCCAUGCCGCGUGUGUGAAGAAGGUCUNCGGCUUNUNAAGCACUUUAAGUUGGGNGGAAGGGCAGUAAGUUAAUACCUUUCUGUUUUGACGUUACUGACGGAAUAAGCACCGGCUAACUUCGCCCCAGCAGCCGCGGUAAUACGAAGGGUGCAAGCGUUAAUCGGAAUUACUGGGAGUAACGCGCGGGGAGGUGGUUUGUUAAGUAGGAGGUAGAAGCCCCGGGCUCAACCUGGGAACAGCUUGCAAAAGUGACAAGCUAGAGUAUGGCAGAGGGUGGUGGAAUUUCCUGUGUAGCGGUGAAAUGCGUAGUUAUAGGAAGGAACAGCAGUGGCGAAGGCGACCACCUGAGAUAAUACUGACACUAAGGUGCGAAAGCGUGGGGAGCAAAC
This 421-nucleotide ribosomal RNA is filed under the name uncultured bacterium. Its description in RNAcentral is "partial 16S ribosomal RNA". It matches the Rfam family "Bacterial small subunit ribosomal RNA", at positions 360 to 773 of the family's 1533-position model. The record is from RNAcentral.